RNAcentral lists this ribosomal RNA (492 nucleotides) under uncultured bacterium. Its description in RNAcentral is "partial 16S ribosomal RNA". It matches the Rfam family "Bacterial small subunit ribosomal RNA", at positions 29 to 507 of the family's 1533-position model. The record is from RNAcentral.
AGUGAACGCUGGCGGUAGGCCUAACACAUGCAAGUCGAACGGCAGCACAGUAAGGGCUUGCUCUUACGGGUGGCGAGUGGCGGACGGGUGAGGAAUACAUCGGAAUCUACUUUUUCGUGGGGGAUAACGUAGGGAAACUUACGCUAAUACCGCAUACGACCUACGGGUGAAAGCAGGGGAUCUUCGGACCUUGCGCGAUUGAAUGAGCCGAUGUCGGAUUAGCUAGUUGGCGGGGUAAAGGCCCACCAAGGCGACGAUCCGUAGCUGGUCUGAGAGGAUGAUCAGCCACACUGGAACUGAGACACGGUCCAGACUCCUACGGGAGGCAGCAGUGGGGAAUAUUGGACAAUGGGCGCAAGCCUGAUCCAGCCAUACCGCGUGGGUGAAGAAGGCCUUCGGGUUGUAAAGCCCUUUUGUUGGGAAAGAAAAGCAGCAGGUUAAUACCCCGCUGUUUUGACGGUACCCAAAGAAUAAGCACCGGCUAACUUCGUG